This 1853-nucleotide ribosomal RNA is filed under the name Oryza meyeriana. Its description in RNAcentral is "bacterial LSU rRNA". It matches the Rfam family "Bacterial large subunit ribosomal RNA", at positions 460 to 2307 of the family's 2925-position model. The record is from RNAcentral. Lineage: Eukaryota; Viridiplantae; Streptophyta; Magnoliopsida; Poales; Poaceae.
UCAAGGCUAAAGACUAAUGAACGGAUGAGAGUGAACCAGUACCGACCGUGAGGGAAAGGUGAAAAGCACCGUGAACAACGGAGUGAAAGAGUACCUGAAACCAUGUACCUACAACCAGUCGAAGUCCCGCAAGGGAUAACGGCGUACCUUUUGUUUAAUGGCCCAGCGAGUUACGCAUGUGCAGCAAGGUUAAGCCCCGCAGGGGCGAAGCCGGAGCGAAAGCGAGUCUGAAUAGGGCGCUCAGUUGCACGUGGUAGACGCGAAGCCUGGUGAUCUAGCCAUGACCAGGAUGAAGUCUCUGUAAAAGGAGAUGGAGGUCCGAACCGACUCCUGUUGAAAAAGUAGCGGAUGAGUUGUGGCUAGGGGUGAAAGGCUAAUCAAACCAGGCGAUAGCUCGUUCUCCUCGAAAUAUAUUUAGGUAUAGCCUCAUGUGAAUAAUAACGGAGGUAGAGCACUGAAUGGACUAGGGGACCUACCAGUCUACCAAACCCAAUCAAACUCCGAAUGCCGCUAUUCCAUACAUGGGAGUCAGGGAGCGGGGGAUAAGCUUCGUUCCCGAGAGGGAAACAACCCAGACCAUCAGCUAAGGUCCCCAAAUAUAUGUUAAGUGACUAAGGAUGUACGUUUGCAUUAACAGCUAGGAAGUUGGCUUAGAAGCAGCCACCCUUUAAAGAAAGCGUAAUAGCUCACCAGUUCAGCGAAUGCGCGCCGAAAAUAUACGGGACUAAACAUGUUACCGAAGCUAUGGAAUCAAUAGCAAUACUGAUUGGUAGAGGAGCGUUCUGUAAGCCUGCGAAGGUAUCCUGUAAGGGGUGCUGGAGGUAUCAGAAAUGAGAAUGCUGGGAUAAGUAGCGAUAAUGAAGGUGGAAAACCUUCACACCGAAAAUCUAAGGUUUCCUGGGCAAGGCUCGUCCUCCCAGGGUAAGUCGGGUCCUAAGCCGAGGCAGAAUAUGCGUAGGCGAUGGAAAACAGGUUUAAAAUUCCUGUACCGUCAUCAGUGCGAUGGGAUGACGCAGGAAGCUAAGUCAGCCCCCUGUUGGUGGGGGUCUAAGCACAUAGGUGGGAUGUCCAGGCAAAUCCGGAUGUCCAUUCAACACUGAAGUGUGAUGGGGAAGGGAGUCUUCGGAUGAACAAACUGAUGUAUGCUCUGCUGCCAAGAAAAGUCUCUAAGCUUCAGCUGAUGAUGCCCGUACCGGAAUCCGACACAGGUAGAUAAGUCGAGUAGACUAAGGUGCGCGAGAGAACCGUGGUAAAGGAACUCGGCAAAUUAGCCCCGUAACUUCGGGAGAAGGGGGGCCCCCCUCGCAAAAGCAGGCCGCAGUGAACAGGCCCAAGCGACUGUUUAACAAAAACACAGCACUCUGCGAAAUCGUAAGAUGACGUAUAGGGUGUGACACGUGCCCGGUGCCGGAAGGUUAACAGGAGAUGUCAGCCAGGUUUCCUGGUGAAGCGUUGAAUCGAAGCCCCAGUAAACGGCGGCCGUAACAAUAACGGUCCUAAGGUAGCGAAAUUCCUUGUCGGGUAAGUUCCGACCUGCACGAAUGGCGUAACGAUGGCCACACUGUCUCCUCCAGAGACUCAGCGAAGUUGAAAUAGCUGUGCCGAUGCAGUUUACCCGCGGAAAGACGGAAAGACCCCGUGAACCUUUACUAUAACUUGACAGUGACACUAGGGGUUGGCUGUGUAGCAUAGGUGGGAGCCUUUGAAGCUGGGCCGCUAGGUUCAGUGGAGGCAACGGUGAAAUACCACCCUGCUGACUUCUGGUGUCUAACCGCAUCCCGUCAUCCGGGAUCGGGACACUGUCUGGUGGGUAGUUUGACUGGGGCGGUCGCCUCCAAAAAAGUAACGGAGGC